Non-coding RNA from Aegilops tauschii subsp. strangulata, 2114 nucleotides. NCBI's taxonomy places the organism in Eukaryota, Viridiplantae, Streptophyta, Magnoliopsida, Poales, Poaceae. The record is from RefSeq and is a predicted model, not a curated record.
GACUAAUUUGGUUUUGCUGGUUUGUGAUCGGUAAUUUAAUUCAGUUUGUGAAUUUUUUUGCAGGGUAAGGCUGGGGUUGAGAACACAAGGUCUUGCCGUGGCCCAUAACGUUACAUUCUGUCUGGCUGCGGGGACAGGAACUUCACUUUUCCAUUCGACAGAAGGUUGCAAUUAUCCAGUUUUUCCUAGACAGAAGAGAAGCUGGGGCGGCGGCGUCCUUGCGUAGGAGGGCGACGCCAUUGAAGACAUGGAAUUCUUUCUACAGCCGGUUAAAAGGUGAUGUAUCCCUAGACUCGUUCAAUUACGUAAGAUGAUAUAGCUGGAGCUGCAAUUUCUUAGAGAUUUCCCCCUCCCAACAUGUCAGGAUUCCAAUCCUUGAGGGGAUGGAUGGCACCGAUAGCCUGCUGGAUAUGGGGAAGUACGCCUGCCGACCCUUGGAGCUCCACUGCUGGCAGCCAUGAGUCAUAAGAAGUGGAAGUGAUGAGUGGGAGCCGUAGCUCCUAGAUGUGGAUGCCGGACCAGUUAACGGGAAGCGCAGCUCUCCGACUAUAUCUCAGCAAUCGAUGGGGAAGGUGAAUCCAGAGACUCCUGGAUGGACAAAAAGGGGAAGCAGGGUUAGAGAAUACACAGUCAUGCCGUUGUGAAUGCCCUGCACUGACCCAGUUGCUUAGGUCAGAGGACAAUGGUUUGUAAAUGUCUAAGCACAAGGAGAAAUACAAUCAUUCACUCUCUCCAAAUUGGCGGGUAACCGUUCACUGGCCGUCCCAAACACAUAGAUGUUUACAACAUAAUUAGGAGAUUUUUUGGUUAAAUAGAAAAGUCCCCUUCACUAAGCGAUCACUGAGAGCAUUGUGCAGGAACUUGGGUUGUGACCAAGCGGAUGAUGAUGUGAGGAAAACGAUGGAAUUAUUUAAGGAGUUGGGUGCCAACAAUCCGUGGUUCACAUAUCGAGUUGAAGCAGAUUUGGAGGGCCGAAUAAAAUGUUUGAUGUGGAUGAAUGGUAGCAGCCAUUUGCGACUACAGGCGUCUGCGUGGUUUACAGGCGAGAUGAACCCUAGAGCUCUUGGCUGGACACAACAGUAUGUGCAUUCAGUGCUACAAAUUCCGAAAAAAGGUAACGAUUGGUGUGGCUGCGUAAAGGAGGACACCUUGUCCUAAUCGCCCAAGUUCGUUGGAGAAAGCAAUUCGUGGGUUCGCUGAGAAUCCAGGGGAAAAUGUGAUUGUACUGAAACUGGGUAUAAGAUUUGAUCUUUAGGUGAAGCAUACAACUUGUACUCCUGCGGGAAGGGGUUUGGUAUUACAUAUUGGAAAAGCAGACUAAAUGUUUAGAGGACAAAAUGCAGGCAGGAAAUCAUUUGCAGCUGUGCGGGAAGGCUGGCGUUGAGAACAGUCGGUCAUGCCAUUGUGAGUGUUGGGCUCUUAUACGAUUGUUGCGAUCGAAAGGCAAUGGUUGGUGCAUAUCAGAGCAUCGGGAGCAACACAUCCAAUCUUUGUCUCCUAAUUGCGGAGAGACAAUACACUGCCUUCACACAAACACAUCGACGUUUACAACCGAGACUGGUGAAGCAGCUACGGCAAAAUAACGUCAAUCUAGCCAAGGUAUACAACAUCAUAGAGAGUUUUUUCACCAAGCGAGCUCUCCAUAAUUUGUGUGGGGAAAUAAACCAUGAGCAGGCAUAGGACGAUGUGAGCAAAACUAUGUAGGUUUUCACUGAACUGGGUGCAAAGGAUCGACAUUUCACGUAUCUUGUGCAGGCUGAUAAGGAAGGGUGAAUCAGUAAAAUUUGGGUGAAUGGGAGCAGUAGAUUGCAGUAAAAUUUUGAGGAUAACACAAAAAAAUCAAAAUUUUAACAACAAGGGCAGGAGGUUUGCCCAAGCUGUGUAGUGUAUAAGCAGGGGGGUGAGGGGUAGGUGAGGGGCACACUCUGAUUUCAGUCAUCCACGUGAAGCUGUAGUUGGAAUAAGAUCAAGUUUCAGUGGGAGGUGAAAUAGAGUGAAUGGCUCUGACCGACUUAUCUAGCGCCUCCUCUGUGGCUACGGGUUUCAAAAUAUACUGAACUGAUUAUAGAUGAUUCUGAUUAACAGCUGUAAGUUCAGAGCAUUAGCUCAGUUCC